ACCGCGCGGCCGCCAGCGCCCGGGAGCGCGUCUCGGGCUGGAGCUCAGGAAAGGCCGAGAAAUGCACCGGCCAACGGCCAUCCGCUCUCCCAGAGUCCCCGAGGCCCCGCACUCCUGCUACUCCGCGUGAUUUUGUCGCCCCCUGCGGCCACCGGGCCCGUGCCUCUCUCCUCCCUGGAGCCCCUCGACUCAGCUUGAAGCCAGGUAUGUGGUUUGACUUAGAUCAGGCCUCCUCUCCCCAAGUGUCGCCAGUAUCCCGCGUUUCCUGUCCGAGGCGCAGAGCUAGCGCCUAAGGUGCUAGAAGAGAGAGGAUGAUUUGCGGGGUGCGCUGUGGCGCGGCCAGGCCGGGAGAACAGGGGCCCCCUGGGAAACUGGGAGAGCCUCAAACUUCCCCAAAUGCCUACUCUUCUAGCCCUAGUCAGGGGUGCUGGGACUCAAGACACGGCCCAGGAACUCAGUCUGGCCGGGAGACUGCUGUGCAGGCAGCACCCCACAGAGAGCCUAGUGCUGAGGCAUCUGAUCUGGGACGGGUGGCCUGGACAACCUCUCCAUAGAGAGGUCAGAUGUGAGGUGGCCUUUGAGAAAGUUAGGAUUUAAUUCCUGAUCACUGUUGGUCAUUUGAGGCUGGCUGUCCUUCUGGUCACCUUACCUGGAUCUUCUGUUGUCUUUGUGUGACGUGACCCACCAGGAAGCUGUCUUAAUCGAUUUCUCCAAAAACCUCUACCUAAAAACUUGGGUCAGCCUGCCUGCCUGGUCCAGUCUCUCUGCUAAGGGCCAGACCCACAUCUCAACUUUCCAGCCGCUUGCCAGACUUGCCACAAACACUGCAACUCCCAAAGGCCCCAGACUGAAUGAGCACUGGACCCCUUGGCCAGUUGCAUCUCAGCUUCCUCAUUCCUGAGACCAACACAUCUACCUCCCCAGCCCCUAGCUCUGAACACUUAACUCCUUCUUGUCUCCUUUUCCUUUCUUCUCUUUGAGUCAAGUAUUGAGUUGAUCUCAAAUGCCCUAAUUCCACAUGACCCCAGUCUGGUGGUUUUCCAGCAGGGAUUCCAUGCUGCUUCCCCUGCUCUGGUAGGACUUGGCAAAAAGUUCUUUUAGGAGCUCCUUGAGCUUUUGCCUCUGGAUUUAUCUUCCAUGCAGGCACUGGCUCUGCCACCCAGCCCACAGCUGACACUAACCCUGCUAGGGUUCCUGGGGUGUGGCCACUCCCAGGGGCUGGCUGGACUGCCAGAGGCUCCCUGCAGCCAGACAAGUAUGAAAACUCUCUGCUCUUUGAGCUGAGGCCCCAAAACACACUAAAGGAGCUGGACCUUUCUGGCAUAACAGGUUCUGCAAAGAGCACAGGGUGAGCGACCUGCAUGGGUAUCAGGUGCUCGGCUUACCACUAAAAAAGCAUCCUUGAGGAGUUCUCGUCGUGGCUCAGUGGUUAAUGAAUCUAAGAACCAUGAGGGUGCAGGUUCAACCCCUGGCCUUACUCAGUGGGUUAAGGAUCCGGCGUUGCCGUGAGCUGUGGUGUAGGUUGCAGAUGAGGCUUGGAUCCUGUGUUGCUGUGGCUGUGGUGUAGGCCGGCGGCUACAGCUCUGAUUAGACCCCUAGCCUGGGAACCUCCACAUGCCGCAAAUGCGGCCUUAGGAAAAAAAGACCAAAAAAAAAAAAAAAAAAGCAUCCUUGAGACAAGUUAAGGUCAAUAAGAAAAUGUACACAUAUUUUCUUAUCCAGUUGAGCUGUUUUUAUUGAGUGAACUCAGAAUCCUUUGUUAGUAAUUCAAAUAUAAGAUAGAAUUUUCAAGGCCUUUUUUGAGGAAACAUCUUUGUAUUCAAAUAGUUACCCAUUCCUGUAGAUGCAGCAGAAGUCAACAUGGGUGGCAUGAGCCAGAGUAAACAGGGCUUACAAGCUCAGAUCAGAAAACUAGGAAGAGGAGUUCCCAUCUUGGCACAGCGGAAACAAAUCCAACUAGGAACCAUGAGACUGCAGGUUUGAUCCCUGGCCCCGUGAUCUAUGAUGUAGGUCACAGACAUGGCUCCAAUCCAGCAUGCCUGUGGUGUAGGCCAGUAGCCAUAGCUCCUAUGCCACUGGUACAGCCCUAAAAAGCAAAAAAAAAAAAAAAAAAA
RNAcentral lists this long non-coding RNA (2114 nucleotides) under Sus scrofa (pig). Its description in RNAcentral is "lncRNA (ENSSSCG00040020371.1)". Lineage: Eukaryota; Metazoa; Chordata; Mammalia; Artiodactyla; Suidae. The record is from RNAcentral.